RNAcentral lists this ribosomal RNA (506 nucleotides) under uncultured bacterium. RNAcentral's name for it is "partial 16S ribosomal RNA". It matches the Rfam family "Bacterial small subunit ribosomal RNA", at positions 30 to 523 of the family's 1533-position model. The record is from RNAcentral.
AUUGAACGCUGGCGGCAGGCCUAACACAUGCAAGUCGAACGGUAACAGGAAACAGCUUGCUGUUUCGCUGACGAGUGGCGGACGGGUGAGUAAUGUCUGUGAAACUGCCUGAUGGAGGGGGAUAACUACUGGAAACGGUAGCUAAUACCGCAUAACGUCGCAAGACCAAAGAGGGGGACCUUCGGGCCUCUUGCCAUCGGAUGGGCCCAGAUGGGAAUAGCUAGUAGGUGGGGUAACGGCUCACCUAGGCGACCAUCCCUAGCUGGUCUGAGAGGAUGACCAGCCACACUGGAACUGAGACACGGUCCAGACUCCUAAGGGAGGCAGCAGUGGGGAAUAUUGCACAAUGGGCGCAAGCCUGAUGCAGCCAUGCCGCGUGUAUGAAGAAGGCCUUCGGGUUGUAAAGUACUUUCAGCGGGGAGGAAGGGAGUAAAGUCAAUACCUUUGCUCAUUGACGUUACCCGCAGAAGAAGCACCGGCUAACUCCGUGCCAGCCGCCGCAGUAA